RNAcentral lists this ribosomal RNA (812 nucleotides) under uncultured bacterium. RNAcentral describes it as "bacterial SSU rRNA". It matches the Rfam family "Bacterial small subunit ribosomal RNA", at positions 8 to 796 of the family's 1533-position model. The record is from RNAcentral.
AGAGUUUGAUCCUGGCUCAGAACGAACGCUGGCGGCGUGCCUAACACAUGCAAGUCGUGCGAGAAAGUUCCUUCGGGAAUGAGUAAAGCGGCGCACGGGUGAGUAACACGUAGGUAAUCUCCCCUCGAGCCCGGAAUAACCUACCGAAAGGUGGGCUAAUACCGGAUAUGACCACGGAAGUUUCGGCUUCUGCGGUGAAAGAUGGCCUCUAUUUAUAAGCUAUCACUCAAGGAUGAGCCUGCGUACCAUUAGCUAGUUGGUGGGGUAAUGGCCCACCAAGGCUAUGAUGGUUAGCUGGUCUGAGAGGAUGGCCAGCCACACUGGGACUGAAACACGGCCCAGACUCCUACGGGAGGCAGCAGUGGGGGAUAUUGCGCAAUGGGCGAAAGCCUGACGCAGCGACGCCGCGUGGGUGAUGAAGGCCUUCGGGUCGUAAAGCCCUGUCGAGGGGAAAGAAUCGAUUACGGCCUAAUACGUCGUGAUCCUGACGGUACCCCUAAAGGAAGCACCGGCUAACUCCGUGCCAGCAGCCGCGGUAAUACGGAGGGUGCGAGCGUUGUUCGGAAUCACUGGGCGUAAAGCGCGUGUAGGCGGCCCACUAAGUCUGAUGUGAAAGCCCGGGGCUCACCCCCGGAAGUGCAUUGGAAACUGGUGGACUCGAGUCCCGGAGAGGAGAGUGGAAUUCCUGGUGUAGCGGUGAAAUGCGUAGAUAUCAGGAGGAACACCGGUGGCGAAGGCGGCUCUCUGGACGGUGACUGACGCUGAGACGCGAAAGCGUGGGGAGCAAACAGGAUUAGAUACCCUAGUAGUCC